AACGAACGCUGGCGGCAUGCCUAACACAUGCAAGUCGAACGAGACCUUCGGGUCUAGUGGCGCACGGGUGCGUAACGCGUGGGAACCUGCCCUUAGGUUCGGAAUAACUCCCCGAAAGGGGUGCUAAUACCGGAUAAUGUCUUCGGACCAAAGAUUUAUCGCCUUUGGAUGGGCCCGCGUUGGAUUAGCUAGUUGGUAGGGUAAAAGCCUACCAAGGCGACGAUCGAUAGCUGGUCUGCGAGGAUGAUCAGCCACACUGGGACUGAGACACGGCCCAGACUCCUACGGGAGGCAGCAGUGGUGAAUAUUGGACACUGGGCGAACGCCUGAUCCAGCAAUGCCGCGUGAGUGAUGAAGGCCUUAGGGUUGUAAAGCUCUUUUACCCGGGAUGAUAAUGACCGUCCCGGGAGAAUAAGCUCCGGCUAACUCCGUG
Molecule: ribosomal RNA, 433 nt
Filed under: uncultured bacterium
Lineage: Bacteria
Description: partial 16S ribosomal RNA
Rfam family: Bacterial small subunit ribosomal RNA
Source: RNAcentral